UACGUAGGGCGCGAGCGUUGUCCGGAUUUAUUGGGCGUAAAGAGCUCGUAGGCGGCUUGUUGCGUCGACUGUGAAAACCCGCGGCUUAACCGCGGGCUUGCAGUUGAUACGGGCAGGCUAGAGUUCGGUAGGGGAGACUGGAAUUCCUGGUGUAGCGGUGAAAUGCGCAGAUAUCAGGAGGAACACCGGUGGCGAAGGCGGGUCUCUGGGCCGAUACUGACGCUGAGGAGCGAAAGCGUGGGGAGCGAACAGG
This 253-nucleotide ribosomal RNA is filed under the name uncultured bacterium. RNAcentral describes it as "partial 16S ribosomal RNA". It matches the Rfam family "Bacterial small subunit ribosomal RNA", at positions 524 to 776 of the family's 1533-position model. The record is from RNAcentral.